CGCUAGCGGGAGGCUUAACACAUGCAAGUCGAGGGGCAGCAUAAGGUAGCAAUACUUUGAUGGCGACCGGCGCACGGGUGAGUAACGCGUAUGUAACCUACCUUGUACAGGGGGAUAGCCCGGAGAAAUUCGGAUUAAUACCCCAUAAUGAUAUUGAGAGGCAUCUUUUAAUAUUUAAAGUUUCGACGGUACGAGAUGGGCAUGCGUGACAUUAGCUAGUUGGUAAGGUAACGGCUUACCAAGGCUUCGAUGUCUAGGGGUCCUGAGAGGGUGAUCCCCCACACUGGUACUGAGACACGGACCAGACUCCUACGGGAGGCAGCAGUGAGGAAUAUUGGUCAAUGGGCGUAAGCCUGAACCAGCCAUCCCGCGUGAAGGAAGAAGGCGCUAUGCGUCGUAAACUUCUUUUCCAGAGGAAUAAAAUUUUGUACGAGUACAGAACUGAAGGUACUCUGGGAAUAAGCAUCGGCUAACUCCGUGCCAGCAGCCGCGGUAAUACGGAGGAUGCAAGCGUUAUCCGGAUUUAUUGGGUUUAAAGGGUGCGUAGGCGGAUUAAUAAGUCAGUGGUGAAAACCUUCAGCUUAACUGGAGAACUGCCAUUGAUACUGUUAGUCUUGAGUACGGUCAAGGUAGGCGGAAUGUGUAAUGUAGCGGUGAAAUGCUUAGAUAUUACACAGAACACCGAUUGCGAAGGCAGCUUACUGGGCCAUUACUGACGCUGAGGCACGAAAGCGUGGGGAGCGAACAGGAUUAGAUACCCUGGUAGUCCACGCCCGUAAACGAUGAUCACUCGCUGUUGGCGAUACACAGUCAG
RNAcentral lists this ribosomal RNA (814 nucleotides) under uncultured bacterium. Its description in RNAcentral is "bacterial SSU rRNA". It matches the Rfam family "Bacterial small subunit ribosomal RNA", at positions 34 to 843 of the family's 1533-position model. The record is from RNAcentral.